AUACUUACCUGGCAGGGGAGAUACCAUUAUCACUAAAGUGGUUCUCCAGGGCGAGGCUCAUCCAAUUGCACUCUGGGUGUGCUGACCCCUGCGAUUUCCCCAAAUGCAGGAAACUAGACUGCAUAAUUUGUGGUAGUGGGGGACUGCGUUCGCGCUCUCCCCUG
Molecule: small nuclear RNA, 164 nt
Filed under: Erpetoichthys calabaricus (reedfish)
Lineage: Eukaryota; Metazoa; Chordata; Cladistia; Polypteriformes; Polypteridae
Description: U1 spliceosomal RNA (ENSECRG00000014722.1)
Rfam family: U1 spliceosomal RNA
About the family: U1 is a small nuclear RNA (snRNA) component of the spliceosome (involved in pre-mRNA splicing).
Source: RNAcentral